This 460-nucleotide ribosomal RNA is filed under the name uncultured bacterium. RNAcentral describes it as "partial 16S ribosomal RNA". It matches the Rfam family "Bacterial small subunit ribosomal RNA", at positions 338 to 795 of the family's 1533-position model. The record is from RNAcentral.
CCUACGGGAGGCUGCAGUGAGGAAUAUUGGUCAAUGGGCGCGAGCCUGAACCAGCCAAGUCGCGUGAGGGAGGACGGCCCUACGGGUUGUAAACCUCUUUUGCCGGGGAGCAACGGGCGUCACGUGUGGCGCCACUGAGAGUACCCGGAGAAAAAGCAUCGGCUAACUCCGUGCCAGCAGCCGCGGUAAUACGGAGGAUGCGAGCGUUAUCCGGAUUUAUUGGGUUUAAAGGGUGCGUAGGCGGAUCGUUAAGUCAGUGGUCAAAUUGAGGGGCUCAACCCCUUCCCGCCAUUGAAACUGGCGAUCUUGAGUGGAAGAGAAGUAUGCGGAAUGCGUGGUGUAGCGGUGAAAUGCAUAGAUAUCACGCAGAACCCCGAUUGCGAAGGCAGCAUGCCGGCUUCCGACUGACGCUGAAGCACGAAAGCGUGGGGAUCGAACAGGAUUAGAUACCCCUGUAGUC